This 2903-nucleotide ribosomal RNA is filed under the name Escherichia coli. RNAcentral describes it as "bacterial LSU rRNA". It matches the Rfam family "Bacterial large subunit ribosomal RNA". The record is from RNAcentral. Lineage: Bacteria; Pseudomonadati; Pseudomonadota; Gammaproteobacteria; Enterobacterales; Enterobacteriaceae.
UUAAGCGACUAAGCGUACACGGUGGAUGCCCUGGCAGUCAGAGGCGAUGAAGGACGUGCUAAUCUGCGAUAAGCGUCGGUGAGGUGAUAUGAACCGUUAUAACCGGCGAUUUCCGAAUGGGGAAACCCAGUGUGUUUCGACACACUAUCAUUAACUGAAUCCAUAGGUUAAUGAGGCGAACCGGGGGAACUGAAACAUCUAAGUACCCCGAGGAAAAGAAAUCAACCGAGAUUCCCCCAGUAGCGGCGAGCGAACGGGGAGGAGCCCAGAGCCUGAAUCAGUGUGUGUGUUAGUGGAAGCGUCUGGAAAGGCGCGCGAUACAGGGUGACAGCCCCGUACACAAAAAUGCACAUGCUGUGAGCUCGAUGAGUAGGGCGGGACACGUGGUAUCCUGUCUGAAUAUGGGGGGACCAUCCUCCAAGGCUAAAUACUCCUGACUGACCGAUAGUGAACCAGUACCGUGAGGGAAAGGCGAAAAGAACCCCGGCGAGGGGAGUGAAAAAGAACCUGAAACCGUGUACGUACAAGCAGUGGGAGCCUCUUUAUGGGGUGACUGCGUACCUUUUGUAUAAUGGGUCAGCGACUUAUAUUCUGUAGCAAGGUUAACCGAAUAGGGGAGCCGAAGGGAAACCGAGUCUUAACUGGGCGUUAAGUUGCAGGGUAUAGACCCGAAACCCGGUGAUCUAGCCAUGGGCAGGUUGAAGGUUGGGUAACACUAACUGGAGGACCGAACCGACUAAUGUUGAAAAAUUAGCGGAUGACUUGUGGCUGGGGGUGAAAGGCCAAUCAAACCGGGAGAUAGCUGGUUCUCCCCGAAAGCUAUUUAGGUAGCGCCUCGUGAAUUCAUCUCCGGGGGUAGAGCACUGUUUCGGCAAGGGGGUCAUCCCGACUUACCAACCCGAUGCAAACUGCGAAUACCGGAGAAUGUUAUCACGGGAGACACACGGCGGGUGCUAACGUCCGUCGUGAAGAGGGAAACAACCCAGACCGCCAGCUAAGGUCCCAAAGUCAUGGUUAAGUGGGAAACGAUGUGGGAAGGCCCAGACAGCCAGGAUGUUGGCUUAGAAGCAGCCAUCAUUUAAAGAAAGCGUAAUAGCUCACUGGUCGAGUCGGCCUGCGCGGAAGAUGUAACGGGGCUAAACCAUGCACCGAAGCUGCGGCAGCGACACUAUGUGUUGUUGGGUAGGGGAGCGUUCUGUAAGCCUGUGAAGGUGUACUGUGAGGUAUGCUGGAGGUAUCAGAAGUGCGAAUGCUGACAUAAGUAACGAUAAAGCGGGUGAAAAGCCCGCUCGCCGGAAGACCAAGGGUUCCUGUCCAACGUUAAUCGGGGCAGGGUGAGUCGACCCCUAAGGCGAGGCCGAAAGGCGUAGUCGAUGGGAAAACAGGUUAAUAUUCCUGUACUUGGUGUUACUGCGAAGGGGGGACGGAGAAGGCUAUGUUGGCCGGGCGACGGUUGUCCCGGUUUAAGCGUGUAGGCUGGUUUUCCAGGCAAAUCCGGAAAAUCAAGGCUGAGGCGUGAUGACGAGGCACUACGGUGCUGAAGCAACAAAUGCCCUGCUUCCAGGAAAAGCCUCUAAGCAUCAGGUAACAUCAAAUCGUACCCCAAACCGACACAGGUGGUCAGGUAGAGAAUACCAAGGCGCUUGAGAGAACUCGGGUGAAGGAACUAGGCAAAAUGGUGCCGUAACUUCGGGAGAAGGCACGCUGAUAUGUAGGUGAAGCGACUUGCUCGUGGAGCUGAAAUCAGUCGAAGAUACCAGCUGGCUGCAACUGUUUAUUAAAAACACAGCACUGUGCAAACACGAAAGUGGACGUAUACGGUGUGACGCCUGCCCGGUGCCGGAAGGUUAAUUGAUGGGGUUAGCGGUAACGCGAAGCUCUUGAUCGAAGCCCCGGUAAACGGCGGCCGUAACUAUAACGGUCCUAAGGUAGCGAAAUUCCUUGUCGGGUAAGUUCCGACCUGCACGAAUGGCGUAAUGAUGGCCAGGCUGUCUCCACCCGAGACUCAGUGAAAUUGAACUCGCUGUGAAGAUGCAGUGUACCCGCGGCAAGACGGAAAGACCCCGUGAACCUUUACUAUAGCUUGACACUGAACAUUGAGCCUUGAUGUGUAGGAUAGGUGGGAGGCUUUGAAGUGUGGACGCCAGUCUGCAUGGAGCCGGCCUUGAAAUACCACCCUUUAAUGUUUGAUGUUCUAACGUUGGCCCCUGAUCGGGGUUGCGGACAGUGUCUGGUGGGUAGUUUGACUGGGGCGGUCUCCUCCUAAAGAGUAACGGAGGAGCACGAAGGUUGGCUAAUCCUGGUCGGACAUCAGGAGGUUAGUGCAAUGGCAUAAGCCAGCUUGACUGCGAGCGUGACGGCGCGAGCAGGUGCGAAAGCAGGUCAUAGUGAUCCGGUGGUUCUGAAUGGAAGGGCCAUCGCUCAACGGAUAAAAGGUACUCCGGGGAUAACAGGCUGAUACCGCCCAAGAGUUCAUAUCGACGGCGGUGUUUGGCACCUCGAUGUCGGCUCAUCACAUCCUGGGGCUGAAGUAGGUCCCAAGGGUAUGGCUGUUCGCCAUUUAAAGUGGUACGCGAGCUGGGUUUAGAACGUCGUGAGACAGUUCGGUCCCUAUCUGCCGUGGGCGCUGGAGAACUGAGGGGGGCUGCUCCUAGUACGAGAGGACCGGAGUGGACGCAUCACUGGUGUUCGGGUUGUCAUGCCAAUGGCACUGCCCGGUAGCUAAAUGCGGAAGAGAUAAGUGCUGAAAGCAUCUAAGCACGAAACUUGCCCCGAGAUGAGUUCUCCCUGAGACUUAGAGUCUCCUGAAGGAACGUUGAAGACGACGACGUUGAUAGGCCGGGUGUGUAAGCGCAGCGAUGCGUUGAGCUAACCGGUACUAAUGAACCGUGAGGCUUAACCUU